Molecule: small nucleolar RNA, 107 nt
Filed under: Brassica napus (rape)
Lineage: Eukaryota; Viridiplantae; Streptophyta; Magnoliopsida; Brassicales; Brassicaceae
Description: Plant small nucleolar RNA R71
Rfam family: Plant small nucleolar RNA R71
About the family: R71 is a member of the C/D box family of snoRNAs containing the C (UGAUGA) and D (CUGA) box motifs. Multiple nearly identical copies of this snoRNA have been identified in Arabidopsis, and it is thought to function as a 2'-O-ribose methylation guide for 18S ribosomal RNA.
Source: Rfam by way of RNAcentral
AAACCAUGGUGUGGGCAUUGAGCUUGGUAGCCCUUGAAUCUCUCCCAGGCUUCACUGAAGCCUUCCAAGUUCUUCUGUUGAAAACUGGAAAUCUCAUUUUUCAGCUU